Molecule: ribosomal RNA, 901 nt
Filed under: uncultured archaeon
Lineage: Archaea
Description: bacterial SSU rRNA
Rfam family: Archaeal small subunit ribosomal RNA
Source: RNAcentral
CUCCGGUGAUCCCUGCCGGACCUGACUGCUAUCGGAUUGGUACUAAGCCAUGCGAGUCGUUGUAGCAAUACAAGGCGGACGGCUCAGUAACACGUAGUCAACCUAACCUAUGGACGUGGAUAACCUCGGGAAACUGAGAAUAAACCGCGAUAGAUCAUUAUGCCUGGAAUGGCUUAUGGUUCAAACAAUUUAUUGCCGUAGGAUGGGACUGCGGCCUAUCAGCUUGUUGGUGAGGUAAUGGCCCACCAAGGCUAUAACAGGUACGGGCUCUGAGAGGAGAAGCCCGGAGAUGGGUACUGAGACACGGACCCAGGCCCUAUGGGGCGCAGCAGGCGAGAAACCUUAGCAAUGUGCGAAAGCACGACUAGGUUAAUCCGAGUGAUUUCUGCUAAAGAGGGCUUUUCUCGGCUGUAAAUAGGCCGGGGAAUAAGGGGAGGGCAAGUCUGGUGUCAGCCGCCGCGGUAAUACCAGCUCCUCGAGUGGUCGGGACGAUUAUUGGGCCUAAAGCACCCGUAGCCGGUUCCGUAAGUCUUCUGUUAAAUCCAGCUGCUCAACGGCUGGCCUGCAGGAGAUACUGCGAGACUAGGAGGCGGGAGAGGCGGACGGUACUCCGCGUGUAGGGGUAAAAUCCUUUGAUCCGCGGAAGACCACCAGUGGCGAAGGCGGUCUGCCAGAACGCGCUCGACGGUGAGGGGUGAAAGCUGGGGGAGCGAACCGGAUUAGAUACCCGGGUAGUCCCAGCCGUAAACGAUGCGAGCUAGAUGAUUCGAUCGCAGUUCGCGAUCGAAGUGUCGCAGGGAAGCCGUUAAGCUCGCCGCCUGGGGAGUACGGUCGCAAGGCUGAAUCGUAUGCAGAAAAUUCUGUAUGCGCAGUUCACUUUAAGGGAAUUGGCGGGGGAGCA